UACGUAGGGUGCGAGCGUUGUCCGGAAUUAUUGGGCGUAAAGCGCUCGUAGGCGGUCCGUUAGGUCGGGAGUUAAAUCCAGGGGCUCAACCCCGGCACGCUCCCGAUACCGGCGGACUUGAGUUUGGUAGGGGAAGGUGGAAUUCCCAGUGUAGCGGUGGAAUGCGCAGAUAUUGGGAAGAACACCGGUGGCGAAGGCGGCCUUCUGGGCCAUAACUGACGCUGAGGAGCGAAAGCUAGGGGAGCAAACAGGAUUAGAUACCCUGGUAGUCCCUGAGCGGGCUGGCAA
This 288-nucleotide ribosomal RNA is filed under the name uncultured prokaryote. Its description in RNAcentral is "partial 16S ribosomal RNA". It matches the Rfam family "Bacterial small subunit ribosomal RNA", at positions 524 to 815 of the family's 1533-position model. The record is from RNAcentral.